This 1438-nucleotide ribosomal RNA is filed under the name uncultured bacterium. RNAcentral's name for it is "16S ribosomal RNA". It matches the Rfam family "Bacterial small subunit ribosomal RNA". The record is from RNAcentral.
GAUUAACGCUGGCGGCAUGCCUAAUACAUGCAAAUCGAACGAUCUUCUUUGAAGAGAGUGGUGAACGGGUGAGUAAUAUAUGUCUAACCUACCCCAACGUGGGGGAUAACUACCUGAAAAGGUAGCUAAUACCGCAUAGGAUAUAGGAUGGUAUCUUCUUAUAUUUAAAGGUGCGUUUGCACCGCGAUGGGAUGGGGACAUACGACAUUAGCUAGUUGGUGAGGUAAGAGCUCACCAAGGCGACGAUGUCUAGCCGGGUUGAGAGACCGACCGGCCACAAGGGGACUGAGACACGGCCCCUACUCCUACGGGAGGCUGCAGUAGGGAAUUUUCCACAAUGGGCGAAAGCCUGAUGGAGCAAUGCCGCGUGAGGGAUGACACAUUUCGGUGCGUAAACCUCUGUUGUUAGGGAAGAACAACUAAGAUAGGAAAUGAUCUUAGCUUGACGGUACCUUUCCAGAAAGUCACGGCAAACUAUGUGCCAGCAGCCGCGGUAAUACAUAGGUGGCAAGCGUUAUCCGGAUUUAUUGGGCGUAAAGAGUGCACAGGUGGUCAAGUAAGUCAGAUGUUAAAUUCUGGGGCUCAACCCCAGCCUGCAUUUGAAACUGCUAGACUAGAAUAUCGGUGGGAGUAGUGGAAUUCCAUGUGUAGCGGUGGAAUGCAUAAAUAUAUGGAGGAACACCAGUGGCGAAGGCGGCUACUUGAACGAUUAUUGACACUUAAGCACGAAAGCGUGGGGAGCAAAUAGGAUUAGAUACCCUAGUAGUCCACGCCGUAAACGAUCUUGACUAGCUGUUGGUUUAACCAGUGGCGCAGCUAACGCAUUAAGUCAAGCGCCUGGGGAGUACGUGCGCAAGCAUAAAAACUCAAAGGAAUUGACGGGGACCCGCACAAGCGGUGGAGCAUGUGGAUUAAUUCGAAGAUACGCGAAGAACCUUACCUGCGUUUGACAUACUUGGCGAAGCUAUAGAGAUAUAGUGGAGGUUAACCGAUGUACAGGUGGUGCAUGGUUGUCGUCAGCUCGUGUCGUGAGAUGUUCGGUUAAGUCCGGCAACGAGCGCAACCCCUGUCUUAUGUUGCUAACAUUUAGUUGAGGACUCAUGAGAGACUGCCUGGGUAACCAGGAGGAAGGUGGGGAUGACGUCAAAUCAUCAUGCCCCUUAUAUGCAGGGCUUCACACGUGCUACAAUGGGGAUUACAAAGAGUCGCGAUACCGCGAGGUGGAGCUAAUCUCAAAAAAAUCCUCUCAGUCCGGAUUGGAGUCUGCAACUCGACUCCAUGAAGUUGGAAUCGCUAGUAAUCGUGAAUCAGCAAUGUCACGGUGAAUACGUUCUCGGGUCUUGUACACACCGCCCGUCAAACUACGGAAGUCGGCAAUGCCUAAAACCAGUGUCCUAACCUUUUGGAGGGAGCUGUCUAGGGUAGGGUUGAUGACUGG